Molecule: non-coding RNA, 2138 nt
Organism: Punica granatum (pomegranate)
Lineage: Eukaryota; Viridiplantae; Streptophyta; Magnoliopsida; Myrtales; Lythraceae
Source: RefSeq, a predicted model, not a curated record
CUAGCUAAUUACGAUAUGUUUCCUCGACCGAGACCCUAACCGGGAGAAAUUCUUCUAUAGUGGUGGAGGGAAAGCAAAAGCAUAAAAACCCCUCGUCGUUGCAGAAAGAGGUCCUCGUAGUGUUUUUGAGAGUGUAUGUGUAAUAGCUGAGAAUGAAACGGGGCAGGUGUUUCGGUGCUAGUUUGUGCAGCAAUAGACGAGAUAGGUGACUGAAUAUGAAUUCAAGCUCGUGGUGAUCGGACUGCGUGUUCUUAUUGAAUUUCAUUUAAUUCUUGAGCUACGGGUGUUGAAUAGGAAAGAUUGAGCGGCGGCCUAAGUGAUCAGUCGGAAUUUUGCUUGAAUCGCACCAGCUUGAAGCUUUUCGUUGCUUGUAGGAGCUCAGUUAGAGCAGCCAUGCGAGUAAUAGUAGCUUCUGAUGCAGCUCAAGGGCUCUUUUGAUACCGAAGGAAAAUUGUGGUGUUUUUGAGAGUGUAUGUGUAAGCUAGGUUAUCGAGUAGUAGUGAGAGGUGCGAGCUAAUGCUGGUUUAAGAUGUGGCAGAUGCUCUGAUUCUGGAUGAAGGUGAUAGGAUACUAACUAAAAUAUUAUGUUGUUUUUGCAACUACUGUAUUCUAAUUAUGAGGCAAAACAAAGACAAAGCUGUAAGUCAGAAUUCUGUGAACCUGUAACUGCCCAAGAAUCUAGAAGAUGAUCUCUUUUCUGUUGUUUUAUUUGAAAGAUCUCUUAUUUUUCUUUCUAUGCAAUUGGUGUUGAAAAUGGAAUUCUUCUUGUUAUAUGGACUUGCCAUCGAUAAAAAAAUUAUCCAUUUGGAAGUAAUGAAUUUCAUGUGGACUUAUAUAUCCAUAUCAUACAGAAACUUGAAUUAUUUCAUUGCCAACCAAUAAAUAUGAUAAUAGUAUCCCAACCCUGUCUUAUACCCUUUGCAAACUCUUGUUCUGCCAUGAUCCUAGGCUGUAGAUGCUUUAGAGAAUGGCAUGAAGUUAUACCUCUUCAUGUUAUUCUCCUUUGGUGAUCUCUGCCUGGGCUAGUACUCCCCUUGGAUUCUAUGUUGGAAGGAAAAUAAAAUGUCCAGCUUUCCGUCUUUUUUUAGAUAAACACCCCCCGAGAGUCUUACCGGAUCUUUUUACCUCUAAAUCAUUCUCUUCCUACAUAUAGAUCAUACUACCUAAAUCGUUGCUGAGCAUAUGUGUAUGUUGGCAUUGGAGCUGAUACAUAAGUAAUUCGUUCGCCGUGCUGUACAUUUAAUUUUUAUUAGGUUUGUUUGAACACCCUGCCCAUCUCCUAUAUAUCACUUACCGGACAAUUAAGUAGUGUCUAUGAGUCUCAUUUACUGCGACUGUUUAUUGUAUGUUUAUGACUUAAAUUGUUGUGUUCUGGUUUAGGCUAACGUCUAUAGGGAAGAGAGGAAUAUUGUGGACCUGUAUAUCAUACUUCUUUGAUUUUCAAGUUUGGUAUCAGAAACUAUACCGCUCCAUCGAGAUUACCCUGCUCUGCAUCCGAGAGAGAAAACACGUUAUAAGAAGAAAUUGUUGAAUGUGUUGGAUGAAUUAGAAGCUUUGAAGCCAGAGUUUCAACAACGAGUGGAAGAACUGAACAAAGAUGAUGCUGGGUUACAAUUGGUUGGACUUGACAGCCAGGAAAGAAGAACUGGUUAUACAUCUGAUACAGCUUCAGUGGAUUGGUCCUCUGCUGCUGGAAAUUCUUUCUCAAGCAUGGAUAAACGGAUCAUGUUACCAGAAGCAGUUGCCAUCGUAAUGGCGCCAACAGAUACAUCCAGCCCCCAUGGAAUUUUCCAUCUCUCCGAUCCAAGUGGUGUGAAUGUGAUUCGUAAUUGUCAGGAACGCGGGUUUCACCCACAUGAGGAGCCCUCGGAUGGGAGCCCAAUUUACGAGCACUGUUCCCAUGUGUAUAUGAACUCCAAGUUGAAGUUCGAAAUUGUUGAUCUCCGGUAAUGGCAGAGAAUUUUCACCUUGUGUGGAGCGGUUGCGGAACACACUCUAUGCAGGAAAGAUUCGAGAACAAUUUCCCUUCCCUAAGUGAGUGUAAAUGUUAUAAUCUUGUAUUUUUAACAGUACAUAGAGGAAAAUGAAAUACAGGAACUACAUCGGCUUAAUUUUCAUUUCGAUGAUGAACUUUACAA